Molecule: RNA transcript, 653 nt
Organism: Arachis ipaensis
Lineage: Eukaryota; Viridiplantae; Streptophyta; Magnoliopsida; Fabales; Fabaceae
Gene: EMB175
Gene name: Pentatricopeptide repeat (PPR) superfamily protein
Source: RefSeq, a predicted model, not a curated record
GAACCUUUCAAUGUGGAGCCACCACGCUCUGCACUGACAUGCUCGUACGCUACUCCUUCAAAUUUGUUUUACAAGAGGAACCAUGGCCCAAUUCCCAUCGUUGAAGAUAUUGAAAGGUACUCCGUUUUGGUGGAAAAGCCCAAACAGCUUUUCAUGAAAGAUAUCAGGAUAUUGCCCAAGUAUAAUGUCACUACCACUUUACAGGAUUGAAAGCAAAAUGGAAAGUUUCCACAAGACAAAGGAUGAAGUGCCUUCUGUACAAAUAUCUCAACUAAUUUAUCUACAUACUAAUAGCAUGAUCUACAUCUCAUUCAAGCGAGAAUCGAUGCUUAAAAACUCAUCCUUACUGCACAGAAUUGUGAGACCACCCAUUGGAUGAUCGUAUCCAUAUUCUUCUUCAACUUGACUCAACAAUUCUCGAAGUAAAGGUUGGUUCAAGUAUGAUAUCGGAAUCUCGAACCGCCUCAUGUUGUCUCCAACAUAGACUGCAAGGUAGCCUUAUGGUACUUCAAGCCCCUUGAAAAUUGUUUUUGCAUGCGGAAACCCACAUUGUAUUGAUUUUCAAAGAAUUUGUAUGAGAAAUAAGUAUUUGAGUUAGGAUACUUGAUCCAUAUUAGGUUGAAAAAUAUAGGUAAAAAAAUUAUAAAAAUAUU